GAUGAACGCUGGCGGCGUGCCUAAUACAUGCAAGUCGAGCGAACGGACGAGAAGCUUGCUUCUCUGAUGUUAGCGGCGGACGGGUGAGUAACACGUGGAUAACCUACCUAUAAGACUGGGAUAACUUCGGGAAACCGGAGCUAAUACCGGAUAAUAUUUUGAACCGCAUGGUUCAAAAGUGAAAGACGGUCUUGCUGUCACUUAUAGAUGGUUCCGCGCUGCAUUAGCUAGUUGGUAAGGUAACGGCUUACCAAGGCAACGAUGCAUAGCCGACCUGAGAGGGUGAUCGGCCACACUGGAACUGAGACACGGUCCAGACUCCUACGGGAGGCAGCAGUAGGGAAUCUUCCGCAAUGGGCGAAAGCCUGACGGAGCAACGCCGCGUGAGUGAUGAAGGUCUUCGGAUCGUAAAACUCUGUUAUUAGGGAAGAACAUAUGUGUAAGUAACUGUGCACAUCUUGACGGUACCUAAUCAGAAAGCCACGGCUAACUACGUG
RNAcentral lists this ribosomal RNA (497 nucleotides) under uncultured bacterium. RNAcentral's name for it is "partial 16S ribosomal RNA". It matches the Rfam family "Bacterial small subunit ribosomal RNA", at positions 28 to 507 of the family's 1533-position model. The record is from RNAcentral.